AUUCGCGGCCUAUCAGCUUGUUGGUGGGGUGAUGGCCUACCAAGGCGACGACGGGUAGCCGGCCUGAGAGGGUGAUCGGCCACACUGGGACUGAGACACGGCCCAGACUCCUACGGGAGGCAGCAGUGGGGAAUAUUGCGCAAUGGGCGGAAGCCUGACGCAGCGACGCCGCGUGAGGGAUGAAGGCCUUCGGGUUGUAAACCUCUUUCAGCUCCGAAGAAGCGAGAGUGACGGUAGGAGCAGAAGAAGCACCGGCUAACUACGUGCCAGCAGCCGCGGUAAUACGUAGGGUGCAAGCGUUGUCCGGAAUUAUUGGGCGUAAAGAGCUCGUAGGCGGCUCGUCGCGUCUGCUGUGAAAGCCCGGGGCUUAACCCCGGGUCUGCAGUGGGUACGGGCGGGCUAGAGUGCGGUAGGGGAGACUGGAAUUCCUGGUGUAGCGGUGAAAUGCGCAGAUAUCAGGAGGAACACCGGUGGCGAAGGCGGGUCUCUGGGCCGUAACUGACGCUGAGGAGCGAAAGCAUGGGUAGCGAACAGGAUUAGAUACCCUGGUAGUCCAUGCCGUAAACGUUGGGCGCUAGGUGUGGGCCGCAUUCCACGUGGUCCGUGCCGCAGCUAACGCAUUAAGCGCCCCGCCUGGGGAGUACGGAAU
Molecule: ribosomal RNA, 649 nt
Filed under: uncultured Actinomycetes bacterium
Lineage: Bacteria; Bacillati; Actinomycetota; Actinomycetes
Description: bacterial SSU rRNA
Rfam family: Bacterial small subunit ribosomal RNA
Source: RNAcentral